ACUCCGUACGGGAGGCAGCAGUGGGGAACUAUUGCACAAUGGGGGAAACCCUGAUGCAGCCAUGCCGCGUGUGUGAAGAAGGCCUUCGGUUGUAAAGCACUUUCAGUAGGGAGGAAGGUAGUGUAGUUAAUACCUGCAUUAUUUGACGUUACCUACAGAAGAAGCACCGGACUAACUCCGUGCCAGCAGCCGCGGUAAUACGGAGGGUGCGAGCGUUAAUCGGAAUUACUGGGCGUAAAGCGCAUGCAGGCGGCCUGUUAAGUCAGAUGUGAAAGCCCGGGGCUUAACCUCGGAAUUGCAUUUUGAAACUGGCAGGCUAGAGUCUUGUAGAAGGGGGGUAGAAUUUCAGGUGUAGCGGUGAAAUGCGUAGAGAUCUGAAGGAAUACCAGUGGCGAAGGCGGCCCCCCUGGACAAAGACUGACGCUCAGAUGCGAAAGCGUGGGGAGCAAACAGGAUUAGAUACCCUGGUAGCACAGAGC
RNAcentral lists this ribosomal RNA (479 nucleotides) under uncultured bacterium. RNAcentral's name for it is "bacterial SSU rRNA". It matches the Rfam family "Bacterial small subunit ribosomal RNA", at positions 335 to 800 of the family's 1533-position model. The record is from RNAcentral.